RNAcentral lists this long non-coding RNA (537 nucleotides) under Suricata suricatta (meerkat). Its description in RNAcentral is "lncRNA (ENSSSUG00005014100.1)". Lineage: Eukaryota; Metazoa; Chordata; Mammalia; Carnivora; Herpestidae. The record is from RNAcentral.
CCAACGACCUGCACCUUGAGACUGUGAAGGCAAGUGGGGUGUGGGGGGAGGGGGAGGGGACCCCCACUGCCGUCCGGCUUACAGCCUGUCCGGACCCCAGCCUCUGACAGCCUGGCAAGGAGGAGGCGACUCAGUCGUACCCGUUCCAUGACAAAGGUGCACAGUGCCAUAGGACACCUGGCAAGGAGAGACAGCGACCCACGCGGGCCUGGCCAAGGGUACAAGGGCUCUUCGAAGACUCUUCCCCGGGUUCUCUGGAUGUGUACUGCGCCAGCCACUCCGAAGCCAACUUUUCAGGUGCCUGCUUGAUGGGAAGUUUUCACUCUGCGCGAUUUCCUUUAAGGCUGCUCACUUCUGUAAGGAAGGAGAGGAGGAGACUGGUUCAAAUCUCUGGAGGUUGGUGUGAAGAUCCACUUCCAAUGGCAGCUCUGGUGGUGUUGGAUUGCUGCUGACAACCACCCUUUACCAGUUUGCUCUUACCUGGGAACAUCCGUCGUCCCUCAGCUUGGUUGUACUUCUGCACAUUGUGAUAUUAAC